ACUGACUGACGAGUCUCAAACAGGACGAAAUGCGCAUCCCGGCU
This 44-nucleotide non-coding RNA is filed under the name Trichobilharzia regenti. The record is from RNAcentral. Lineage: Eukaryota; Metazoa; Platyhelminthes; Trematoda; Strigeidida; Schistosomatidae.